Small nucleolar RNA from Sander lucioperca (pikeperch), 216 nucleotides. Its record names the gene U3. It matches the Rfam family "Small nucleolar RNA U3". From Rfam's summary of the family: Small nucleolar RNAs (snoRNAs) are involved in the processing and modification of rRNA in the nucleolus. There are two main classes of snoRNAs: the box C/D class, and the box H/ACA class. U3 snoRNA is a member of the box C/D class. Lineage: Eukaryota; Metazoa; Chordata; Actinopteri; Perciformes; Percidae. The record is from Ensembl.
AAGACUAUACUUUCAGGGAUCAUUUCUAUAGUUUCUGACUUGAAAAAUGUGUUUCUAAAGUGUUUGGUCUUGUGAAUCACUGUGAUGAGUCGUGUUGUUGUUUUCUGAGCGUGAAGCUGACAGAGAGUAAUGAUUAACUUCAGAGACUGUCUGUCAUUGAUGACUGUUCUUUGCUUCUUUAUGGAGCAUUGAGAAAGGGAUUAUGAUCAGAGUGGU